GGCUGCUUCUCCACGCAUCCCUUUGCCUGCCUGCCUGUGCCAGGGGUUGUCAAGGGCUUUUGGGUCAGAGUGGGCACCCCUUUCUCCAAGGCUCCCUGCAACAGCUGGCCUGUCCCUGGUGGGGCUGACAGCUUCCUUCUCACCCUGCCAGGCUGCCCAAGCGCCAGAGGUGACCUAUGAGGCAGAAGAGGGCUCCUUGUGGACGUUGCUACUCACUAGCUUGGAUGGGCACCUGCUGGAGCCAGAUGCUGAGUACCUCCACUGGCUGCUAACCAACAUCCCGGGUAACCGGGUGGCUGAAGGACAGGUGACGUGUCCCUACCUCCCCCCCUUCCCUGCCCGAGGCUCCGGCAUCCACCGUCUUGCCUUCCUGCUCUUCAAGCAGGACCAGCUGAUUGACUUCUCCGAGGACGCACGCCCCUCACCCUGCUAUCAGCUGGCCCAGCGGACCUUCCGCACUUUUGAUUUCUACAAGAAACACCAAGAAGCCAUGACUCCAGCCGGCUUGUCCUUCUUCCAGUGCCGCUGGGAUGACUCCGUCACCUACAUCUUCCACCAGCUUCUAG
RNAcentral lists this small RNA (566 nucleotides) under Pan troglodytes (chimpanzee). RNAcentral describes it as "retained intron". Lineage: Eukaryota; Metazoa; Chordata; Mammalia; Primates; Hominidae. The record is from RNAcentral.